RNAcentral lists this ribosomal RNA (303 nucleotides) under uncultured bacterium. RNAcentral's name for it is "partial 16S ribosomal RNA". It matches the Rfam family "Bacterial small subunit ribosomal RNA", at positions 507 to 807 of the family's 1533-position model. The record is from RNAcentral.
AGCAGUAGCCGCGGUAAUACGUAGGUGGCAAGCGUUGUCCGGAAUUAUUGGGCGUAAAGGGCUCGCAGGCGGUUUCUUAAGUCUGAUGUGAAAGCCCCCGGCUCAACCGGGGAGGGUCAUUGGAGACUGGGAAACUUGAGUGCAGAAGAGGAGAGUGGAAUUCCACGUGUAGCGGUGAAAUGCGUAGAGAUGUGGAGGAACACCAGUGGCGAAGGCGACUCUCUGGUCUGUAACUGACGCUGAUGCACGAAGGCCAGGGGAGCAAACGGGAUUAGAUACCCGGGUAGUCCCUGUCUCUUAUAC